GAUGAAGAACGUAGCGAAAUGCGAUAAGUAGUGUGAAUUGCAGAAUUCAGUGAAUCAUCGAAUCUUUGAACGCACAUUGCGCCCCUUGGUAUUCCAUGGGGCAUGCCUGUUCGAGCGUCAUUUGUACCUUCAAGCUUUGCUUGGUGUUGGGUGGUUGUCCUGAGGGACUCGCCUUAAAGUAAUUGGCAGCCAGUGUUUGGUUUUGAAGCGCAGCACAAGUCGCGAUUCAAGGCUAUACACCAGCUUCCACAAGCCUUUUUCACUUUUGACCUCGGAUCAGGUAGGGAUACCCGCUGAACUUAAGCAUAUCAAUAAGCGGAGGA
Molecule: unclassified non-coding RNA, 323 nt
Filed under: soil metagenome
Description: partial contains 5.8S ribosomal RNA, internal transcribed spacer 2, and large subunit ribosomal RNA
Rfam family: 5.8S ribosomal RNA (bases 1-120)
Source: RNAcentral